AAAAAAAAAAAAAAAAAAUGAAGAGACUUUUAGAUUUUUUUUUUUUUAAUUUUAGAAGCUUAAAAACAUAAAAUAAUAUUUUAUUAUUUAUGGGUCCUACAACAACUAUUUAAUGGCAGUUUAGUCUCGUGACCAAAUUUUGGAUUCAAUUAACAAAAAAUUAAAGCUUGAAAGCCUAAUGAACCACAAAAUAAACCUUAAGGGCUAAUUGACUGCAGAAUUUUUUAUUUUUUUUAAGGGCUUAAUUGACUUGGGCCAAAAUGAUUUUUGCUGAUUUUUACUAGAUAUUAUAGGAGUUUCCAUUAUAAAGAUGUCAUACUCUUAGCGAUUGAUGGUCAAAAUCAGCAAUAGAUCAACAAUCCACAAGACACUUGGUUUAACAUAGAACAAUAUAUCCUACCAGUCUAGCAACACAAGUGAUAUUGUACUGUAAUAAUAAAACACAGCAUUGUAUAUUAAUCUACUCCACAUUUUGGUAUUUUUUCUUCUACCUAUGGAAUCCAAAGUCCUACUCAAGCUCAAAGGGGUAUUGCAGGGCUGUUAAGCCCAUUAUAGCUUCCAUGUGAGACGACCACAUCUCUUUUAAUUUCUUCACAUUAGCUAUUAGUUUCUCUAAUGCUAACCUAGAAAAUUUUAUAUUGAGAACAAUGAAAGAUGGGAAAGUUCAUUCAUAAACACCCCUCAUCAUCUGUGCUAAACAAAGAAGGAAAGAAAAGGUGGAUUGACUGCUUUAUCACCACAUAUAUAAUGACAAGUUCUAUUUCAAGCAUAUACCUUAACAGCUGACUCACUGCCAA
This 797-nucleotide unclassified non-coding RNA is filed under the name Hevea brasiliensis (rubber tree). Lineage: Eukaryota; Viridiplantae; Streptophyta; Magnoliopsida; Malpighiales; Euphorbiaceae. The record is from RNAcentral.